ACUAUAAAAUGAGCAAUUAAAAAUACUUAUGAGAUGUCAAAAAUCUUUUAAAAAAAUCUUUUAACAAGUUUUUAUAAUUAUUAAUUAAUUUAGUUUAGUGAUAAUGAUAAAUCGCUGUGGAUGAACGACAAGUCGUGCAAUGACUUAGAUUCCAAGCAAAAUGGUCUUGAUUGGAAAGACCAAAACUCCGAAGGGUGCACCGCCGUUCUUUUAGCAGUACAGUGGUCAGGGACUCCAGCUUCAAAGAGAGAACUAGUUGGCAGGACUAAUUAUUAGAUACAUUGGGUAUUGAAAGAAAAAUAGUGCUUUCUCUCUUAAAAAAAAAUGAUUGUGAAAGAUAGUGUAGCCGAAAGACAAUGGAUGAAGCGAAGGAAGUGGUAAAGCACAUCUUGCAAGCCAAGUUCAAAGGAGGAAUCCCAUCUGACCAAAUUGAGAAAAUCAUAAAGGGAUAUGCCAAUUUCGCCAAUCUAUCUCAUCGAACCCAUGAAGGCUUUCCAUUGAUGUGAGCAUUCAGAACCUGCAUCUAGGUUUCACUCACGUCUUUGAAUCUGCCUUCGAAAGUACAGAAGGAGUUGCAGAGUAUAUAUCUCAUCCCGCACAUGUUGAAUUUUCCAAUUUGUUCUUAGCUGCUGUGGAGAAAUUUAUUGUCGUUGACUACGAGUCCUCUACUGUUCGCCUCUAAACUGUGAGGGUAAUAGACUUCAUAUUUCAUCUUGCUAGUUUUGCCUCCAAAUGGAAAAUAAUGAGGAUUGCAUCUCAGUUUAUGUUCAGUAUUAUUGUUGCUGAACUCCCAGCAAUUUUACUGCAUGUUAGUGUUUCUUUUAUGUUCAGUUAAAUAGGAUUGCUGGAAACAUGUUCAGCUAAGCAAUUCUUUUAUCUUUCAUCAUCUCAGCUUCUUAAUGUGUUCUUUUUGUGGUUUGCAAUCCAAGAUUGGUGGAGUAUUUACGCUAUGGAAUCCAUUUCAUGUGUGUUUUUAUUUGUUUUAGAAAGUUGUAAAACACAUUAAUUGAAGUUUAGUCUGGACUAAUUCUAAGUUUUCCAUUAUUUUUGUUUGA
Molecule: long non-coding RNA, 1055 nt
Organism: Hevea brasiliensis (rubber tree)
Lineage: Eukaryota; Viridiplantae; Streptophyta; Magnoliopsida; Malpighiales; Euphorbiaceae
Exons: 2
Source: RefSeq, a predicted model, not a curated record